RNAcentral lists this unclassified non-coding RNA (329 nucleotides) under soil metagenome. RNAcentral describes it as "partial contains 5.8S ribosomal RNA, internal transcribed spacer 2, and large subunit ribosomal RNA". The stretch from base 1 to 120 matches the Rfam family "5.8S ribosomal RNA", at positions 35 to 154 of the family's 154-position model. The record is from RNAcentral.
GAUGAAGAACGCAGCGAAAUGCGAUAAGUAAUGUGAAUUGCAGAAUUCCGUGAAUCAUCGAAUCUUUGAACGCAUAUUGCGCCCUCUGGCAUUCCGGGGGGCAUGCCUGUCCGAGCGUCAUUACAACCCUCAAGCUCAGCUUGGUGUUGGGCCCCGCCGCCCCGGCGGGCCCUAAAGUCAGUGGCGGUGCCGUCCGGCUCCGAGCGUAGUAAUUCUUCUCGCUCUGGAGGUCCGGUCGUGUGCUCGCCAGCAACCCCCAAUUUUUUUCAGGUUGACCUCGGAUCAGGUAGGGAUACCCGCUGAACUUAAGCAUAUUAAUAAGCGGAGGA